RNAcentral lists this ribosomal RNA (551 nucleotides) under Rhodotorula mucilaginosa. RNAcentral's name for it is "LSU rRNA". It matches the Rfam family "Eukaryotic large subunit ribosomal RNA", at positions 48 to 614 of the family's 3401-position model. The record is from RNAcentral. Lineage: Eukaryota; Fungi; Basidiomycota; Microbotryomycetes; Sporidiobolales; Sporidiobolaceae.
UAGCGGAGGAAAAGAAACUAACAAGGAUUCCCCUAGUAGCGGCGAGCGAAGCGGGAAGAGCUCAAAUUUAUAAUCUGGCACCUUCGGUGUCCGAGUUGUAAUCUCUAGAAAUGUUUUCCGCGUUGGACCGCACACAAGUCUGUUGGAAUACAGCGGCAUAGUGGUGAGACCCCCGUAUAUGGUGCGGACGCCCAGCGCUUUGUGAUACAUUUUCGAAGAGUCGAGUUGUUUGGGAAUGCAGCUCAAAUUGGGUGGUAAAUUCCAUCUAAAGCUAAAUAUUGGCGAGAGACCGAUAGCGAACAAGUACCGUGAGGGAAAGAUGAAAAGCACUUUGGAAAGAGAGUUAACAGUACGUGAAAUUGUUGGAAGGGAAACGCUUGAAGUCAGACUUGCUUGCCGAGCAAUCGGUUUGCAGGCCAGCAUCAGUUUUCCGGGAUGGAUAAUGGUAGAGAGAAGGUAGCAGUUUCGGCUGUGUUAUAGCUCUCUGCUGGAUACAUCUUGGGGGACUGAGGAACGCAGUGUGCCUUUGGCGGGGGUUUCGACCUCUCACA